This 569-nucleotide ribosomal RNA is filed under the name uncultured bacterium. Its description in RNAcentral is "partial 16S ribosomal RNA". It matches the Rfam family "Bacterial small subunit ribosomal RNA", at positions 355 to 914 of the family's 1533-position model. The record is from RNAcentral.
UAGGGAAUCUUCGGCAAUGGGGGCAACCCUGACCGAGCAACGCCGCGUGAGUGAAGAAGGUUUUCGGAUCGUAAAGCUCUGUUGUAAGUCAAGAACGGGUGUGAGAGUGGAAAGUUCACACUGUGACGGUAGCUUACCAGAAAGGGACGGCUAACUACGUGCCAGCAGCCGCGGUAAUACGUAGGUCCCGAGCGUUGUCCGGAUUUAUUGGGCGUAAAGCGAGCGCAGGCGGUUUGAUAAGUCUGAAGUUAAAGGCUGUGGCUCAACCAUAGUUCGCUUUGGAAACUGUCAAACUUGAGUGCAGAAGGGGAGAGUGGAAUUCCAUGUGUAGCGGUGAAAUGCGUAGAUAUAUGGAGGAACACCGGUGGCGAAAGCGGCUCUCUGGUCUGUAACUGACGCUGAGGCUCGAAAGCGUGGGGAGCGAACAGGAUUAGAUACCCUGGUAGUCCACGCCGUAAACGAUGAGUGCUAGGUGUUGGAUCCUUUCCGGGAUUCAGUGCCGCAGCUAACGCAUUAAGCACUCCGCCUGGGGAGUACGACCGCAAGGUUGAAACUCUAAAGUAAUUGAC